This 254-nucleotide ribosomal RNA is filed under the name uncultured bacterium. RNAcentral describes it as "partial 16S ribosomal RNA". It matches the Rfam family "Bacterial small subunit ribosomal RNA", at positions 524 to 776 of the family's 1533-position model. The record is from RNAcentral.
UACGUAGGGUGCAAGCGUUGUCCGGAAUCAUUGGGCGUAAAGCGCGCGUAGGUGGCUUCGUAAGUCCGUUGUGAAAGUCAAAGGCUCAACCUUUGAAAGCCGAUGGAUACUGCGGAGCUAGAGUACGGAAGAGGCGAGUGGAAUUCCUGGUGUAGCGGUGGAAUGCGCAGAUAUCAGGAGGAACACCAAUAGCGAAGGCAGCUCGCUGGGACGUUUACUGACACUAAGGCGCGAAAGCGUGGGGAGCGAACAGG